RNAcentral lists this ribosomal RNA (460 nucleotides) under uncultured bacterium. RNAcentral describes it as "partial 16S ribosomal RNA". It matches the Rfam family "Bacterial small subunit ribosomal RNA", at positions 338 to 795 of the family's 1533-position model. The record is from RNAcentral.
CCUACGGGGGGCAGCAGUGAGGAAUAUUGGUCAAUGGGCGGGAGCCUGAACCAGCCAAGUCGCGUGAGGGAAGACGGUCCUAUGGAUUGUAAACCUCUUUAGGCGGGGAGCAAUGCCGGGCACGCGUGCCCGGAGGGAGAGUACCCGCAGAAUAAGCAUCGGCUAACUCCGUGCCAGCAGCCGCGGGAACACGGGGGAUGCGAGCGUUAUCCGGAUUUUUUGGGUUUAAAGGGUGCGUAGGCGGAUUUUUAAGUCAGCGGUAAAAUGUCCGGGCUCAACCCGGGCCGGCCGUUGAAACUGGGGAUCUAGAGUGGGCGAGAAGUAUGCGGAAUGCGUGGUGUAGCAGUGAAAUGCAUAGAUAUCACGCAGAACUCCGAUUGCGAAGGCAGCAUACCGGCGCCCGACUGACGCUGAGGCACGAAGGCGUGGGGAUCGAACAGGAUUAGAUACCCGGGUAGUC